Molecule: ribosomal RNA, 468 nt
Filed under: uncultured bacterium
Lineage: Bacteria
Description: partial 16S ribosomal RNA
Rfam family: Bacterial small subunit ribosomal RNA
Source: RNAcentral
GACGAACGCUGGCGGCGUGCUUAACACAUGCAAGUCGAACGGAAAGGCCCUGCUUUUGUGGGGUGCUCGAGUGGCGAACGGGUGAGUAACACGUGAGUAACCUGCCCUUGACUUUGGGAUAACUUCAGGAAACUGGGGCUAAUACCGGAUAGGAGCUCCUGCUGCAUGGGGGGGGUUGGAAAGUUUCGGCGGUUGGGGAUUGACUCGCGGCUUAUCAGCUUGUUGGUGGGGUAGUGGCUUACCAAGGCUUUGACGGGUAGCCGGCCUGAGAGGGUGACCGGCCACAUUGGGCCUGAGAUACGGCCCAGACUCCUACGGGAGGCAGCAGUGGGGAAUAUUGCACAAUGGGCGGAAGCCUGAUGCAGCAACGCCGCGUGCGGGAUGACGGCCUUCGGGUUGUAAACCGCUUUCGCCUGUGACGAAGCGUGAGUGACGGUAAUGGGUAAAGAAGCACCGGCUAACUACGUG